Molecule: ribosomal RNA, 764 nt
Filed under: uncultured bacterium
Lineage: Bacteria
Description: bacterial SSU rRNA
Rfam family: Bacterial small subunit ribosomal RNA
Source: RNAcentral
AGAGUUUGAUCCUGGCUCAGCCUGAACGCUGGCGGCGUGGCUAAGAUAUGCAAGUCGAACGGAUGUAGCAAUACAUCAGUGGCGGACGGGUGAGUAAUGUAUCGCUAAUGUGCCCUUGAGCCAGGGAUAGCUGCCCGAAAGGGCAGGUAAUACCUGAUAAAGUAAUCCUGACGCAUGUCGGGAUUCCCAAAGCAGCAAUGCACUCUUGGAGCAGGCGAUAUCGUAUCAGCUAGUUGGUGAGGUAACGGCUCACCAUGGCAAUGACGCGUAGCUGAUCUGAGAGGACGACCAGCCACAUCGGGACUGAGACACUGCCCGGACUCCUACGGGUGGCUGCAGUAACGAAUCUUCCGCAAUGCACGAAAGUGUGACGGAGCGACGCGGCGUGUGGGAUGAAGUCCUUCGGGAUGUAAACCACUGUCAGGGGAAAGAAAGUUCUGAUCUACCCCAGAGGAAGAGGCGGCUAACUCUGUGCCAGCAGCCGCGGUAAUACAGAGGCCCCAAGCGUUAGGCGGAAUCACUGGGCUUAAAGCGUGGGUAGGUGGAUGCCUAAGUACCUUGUGAAAUCCCACGGGCUUAACCGUGGAAUGGCUGGGUAUUCUGGGUGUCUUGAAGCACUCAGGGGCUACCGGAACAAACGGUGGAGCGGUGAAAUGCGUAGAUAUCGUUUGGAACACCAAUGGUGAAAACAGGUAUCUGGGCGUGUGCUGACACUGAGACACGAAAGCCAGGGGAGCAAACGGGAUUAGAUACCCCAGUAGUCC